GAUUAACUGGGGAGGGAAAAUUUAGCCUGAAUAUGGAUGGCUCUGACCCAUGGACUGGGGUCCUAGAGUGAAUAAAAAGGGAAAAGGGAGAAAAUGAGCUGACCAGCAUUUGUCUUUCUUCUUCCUGAGUAAAGAGCUGUAAUGUACCCAGUUGCUUCCCUUCCUUGCUAUGAUUUCUCCACCAGAAUUGACUGCAUCCCUUUCAACCAUCAUCUAAACCAAGCUGUUCUUCUUCAUGUUGCUCCUGACAGGUCUUUCAACUACUGCCCCAGGGCACCAGCUAACCUGGUUUAUUGGAUGAUGUGACUUUCUUCUGCCUGACAAAAACACCAUGCUUCUUGCCAAGACGAUAAUGAACCGAACCUCUGAAACUCCCUCCAGUGAAACAGCCAAAGAAGACUGAAAAGCUCUCAGUCCAUUCGGAUUCCCUCAGCCUUGCCCUUUCCUGUUUACCCAUAAUGGACAGGCUCAGUCUUUGGAGAAAGACCCAUCUGCAUUUGGAUUCUGCUGAAGACAUUGGCUUG
Molecule: long non-coding RNA, 524 nt
Organism: Grammomys surdaster
Lineage: Eukaryota; Metazoa; Chordata; Mammalia; Rodentia; Muridae
Exons: 4
Source: RefSeq, a predicted model, not a curated record